RNAcentral lists this transfer RNA (83 nucleotides) under Nematostella vectensis (starlet sea anemone). Its description in RNAcentral is "tRNA-Leu". It matches the Rfam family "tRNA". Rfam says of the family: Transfer RNA (tRNA) molecules are approximately 80 nucleotides in length. Their secondary structure includes four short double-helical elements and three loops (D, anti-codon, and T loops). Further hydrogen bonds mediate the characteristic L-shaped molecular structure. tRNAs have two regions of fundamental functional importance: the anti-codon, which is responsible for specific mRNA codon recognition, and the 3' end, to which the tRNAs corresponding amino acid is attached (by aminoacyl-tRNA synthetases). tRNAs cope with the degeneracy of the genetic code in two manners: having more than one tRNA (with a specific anti-codon) for a particular amino acid; and 'wobble' base-pairing, i.e. permitting non-standard base-pairing at the 3rd anti-codon position. The record is from Rfam by way of RNAcentral. Lineage: Eukaryota; Metazoa; Cnidaria; Anthozoa; Actiniaria; Edwardsiidae.
ACCAGGAUGGCCGAGUGGUUAAGGCGUUGGACUUAAGUUCAAAUGUACGGAUGUACGCGUGGGUUCGAACCCCACUCCUGGUA